CCAACUGCAGCCUGCGGGACUGGGCUGAUCACCGGCUGGCCUGGGCGGUGAGUUCUAGAAGCCUACUCUUUCUAAGACGGGCGGCUCCUUCACCUCCCCCGGCACAAGCUCUGGCGCGCGCCGGCGUGCACACCAGUGCGCAGCUUGGCUAGCUCGGGGUCCACGGCCUGAUUAGAGAGUGAGCCUCUUGCGCCUGGCAGCGGACGCGGCACCGCCUAGCGCAUACUGGCCCUGUCAGGCUUGGGGUCGGUGCUCCCCUGCAGAGCCACCUCCUCAACCGGCCUCAGUUCCCUCCCCUGCCCGCUUCCCAGUGCCGCUGAAGCAUGAAUCAUAACGGCGGUGCCUGUGGAAGCCCUGGGCAGGCUCCCAAGCUCUGUGCCCAUGUUGGCAGUUAUCGAAGUUUACUUCUUACGCUGCGUGACCCUCCUUUUAAAGGCUGGGGGAAUGUUCAGAAUCACCGCCUUUGACAAACCCGACAGCUGCCUGAUGACGGGUGGUCUUGUGGGAGCAGACCCUAGGGAGAGCCGUCUCUGGGCAUCCAUUAUACAAAGGUACUGUCACUGGGGUCUGGGCUGAGUGUUGGGUCCUGGUCCCUGCCUUCAGGCAGCCCUGGGCUGUGGGAUGCAGACUAGGGAGGAGGGGGCCCAGGACUAGCUGGAGUUCCCAGGCCCUACAUCUCCCUGCAGGGUGGAGGGGAGGACCCUCCACACAGUCUAGAAAUGCAUGUGCCCUGGCCAGGGGUUCUCCCUUGCCCUCAGAUGUGAGAGAGGCAGGGAAACUGGUUGUGACAUGGUCUCUGUGCCCAAGAGGCAUGUGGGGAAGUCUUUGGGUGCUUUCUUCUCCCCCAUCAGCAGUGCCCACAACUGUGCCACUGUGGAGUGGCUCUGUCUCUGAGCUCCUGACAGGGGUCAGCUUUAGCAUCUGGUCUGAACUCAGGCUGGGCAGCCUUAAUCAGGGGGCACUGCUGUCAUAGCAGAUGCCACCAUAGACCUCUGGCCUCUGGAUACCUCUGGCAGGUAUCCAGCCGUAGCCAGGCAGAAAUCAAGCAUUCUGGGUGGUGGGCUUGCCAGCAGCAGGGUUCAAGUGGAGGACCAAGCCUCCUGUGUCAGUCCUGGGCAUUUAUAUACAUGGGAGCAGCAAAGAGCCCUGACCGGCAUGUGAAAGGUGCUGUCCAGAGAGGGGACAACCACUGUCGUUGUUAAAAAGCUCUUUUGGUCCUGGAGGGUUAAAAUGCCAAGAUCAGGACCCCUGGGUUUGCAUUUGUGUAGAAGCUCGCACACGCUGUGUUCUCCAUCAUUGGGGCGCUCGAGCCCUGCUCUGUGGCCAGUCAUCUUGUGCAGAGUGCAGGGAGGCCUGGCCUUGUGGCGCUUGCUAUUGGGGUGGACAGUGCCCACACUGAGGUGGAUGCACUGAGCACCACUGAGGCCCUGGGGCUCCUCCCCGGCCUGUGGGAAGGUUUCCAGAGGAGGUGUCCAUGUGCAUUUGAAGAAUGAGGAAGAGAGGCUGUGCUCCCUAGGGGAGGGGGCUUUUGCUCUGGAGAUGUGGGGAGCCAGAGGAGGAUCCAGGCAAAGGCUGUGGCAUUGGUCAGAUGCAGGUGUUGGAGAGAUGGCUCCUCCCCUGGCAGCUGCCCCCCACCCCCAGAUCAGGGCUCUUGUCUUGAGAAGCGUUUUGGAGGAUACAUAGGGCUGUGGGGAGGUCCAUCCGGGCCCUGGCUCCACGGGCAGCCUUGUGUUUGCAGGCGGUGGCAGCCAGCACAGGCAUUCGCAGGAGAAGGGGCAGAGCAAGACCUGGGCCUGAAGCCAGCAGGACUUCACGCUGCUCAGGCAGCAGCUCGCAAGGCCAGGUCAGCCGAGGGCGCUUGGAGUGCCCAGCCUGUGAGUGGCCCAGCCCUGGGCAGAGACACUGACUUCCUGUUGCCUGAUGCUGCUGACCACGUCUCCUAAAAUGCAGAGGAGGGGCCAUCCAAGGGCUGCGAGGCAGAGGGCACCAAGCUCUCCCCUUGGGAGCCCUGGGCUGUGCUGGGGCUGCAUGGUACAUGGCCUUCCUGGUGCCGAGGCCCCAGGAGGAUGCUGUUUGCAAGGGAGCUAGAGAAGCCUCUUUGUCCAGAUGUUGAAAAUUUGGCUUGUCAGACUGCUCCAGAUGUCUGCAGCCAGCCAAUGGCGUGGGCCCAGAAAGAUGGCUGUCCUGUGAGUGGUUGGCGACCAGGCCCAGGCUGGGCUUGAGUGAGGUGGGAGAAUGCUGUGGGGGUCGGCUGCCCUGGUGGGUGGGUCUGUGCACACGUGCGUGGGAGCAUGUCAGGAGGGGGCAGGUGCCUCCCAGGGGAAAAGCUGCAUGGAGCUGGAGAUGCUGGGACUGCAGAGACAGAGCUCAUCCCACCCCAGAAGAGCAGGUUGGUCCCUCCAGGGCCACACAGCCACAGCUGCCUUGCCGGGGCCAGGGCCACCCUGGGUGCUGUGCACCAUACCUCAUGAGCAGCCUUGGCAUGUGCAGAGGGGAGCUGGUCCUGAACUACCUUGGCUUGCUCAGGUGUGCAUGCCCACACACACCUCUUAUAUGCGUGUGUGUCCACACUUGCAUACAUGUAUCCCCGAGUAUCUGUGUCCUGUGUGUACAUGUUCACGUUCAUGUGCAUGCAAACACAAACACCCUGCGUGCACACGUCCACACACUGUGCAUAAAGUACUGCAUGCAUGUCUGUACGUGCCCCUCAUGUGCAGUGUACCACAUAUGUGCCCAAGUGCACAUGUAAUGUAUGCAUAGGUAUAUGCAUUCAAGUGUAUGUACAUGUGCGUGCACAUUUGCAUGGUUACAGUGCACAAGUCUACUCAUACAUGUGAGUGUGCACACUAGCAUGCACAAGCACAGUCUACUGUGUGUACACACAUGCACACCUAUAUGCACCACACUGCACGUGCCCACUGCUGCAGGCAGACUCCAGGGUAGGGCUGAGCUCUGCGCUGUCUCCUAGGCCUGCUCACUGUCACCUGGCUCUUUCAGACAGCUCCUCAGCCCUUGCGCUCUAGGCUGUCUGUCACUGCCUCAUGGCCUCUGGACAUUGGUGCAUGCUGUUCACAGGGCUCAGCCACACUUGGCCCCGUCUGUCCCUGGGCUCUUCCUUCAAGGAAAGUUGCACAAGGUUCCUCCUCCAGGAAGCCUCCCUGGUGGCCCUGGCUGGAUCUGGGCUCCUUUGCUGUCCUCCUACACGCCGCUCCGAAGCUCAGUUAAAGUGUGGUGAUGGCGGUGCCAAGGGCAAGGCUGAGAGUGCCUGUCCUCCAGCCUCAGUCGUGCUAGAUGCCCUCUGGGUGCAGGCGGCCCAGGAGAGAACAGGCCUCCACCUGGCAGCUUCCAGUGCAGACCCUGGCAUCCCACACCCCACAGCCCUUUCCGCCUGGUUUUUGGGCCUCUGGAGCCACCAGGUGUGAACUUAAACCCCGGUCACUCUGUACGCGCUGCCCAGCAGGCCAUGCGCCUCUUGCCUUCCUGGGCUCAGUUUCCCCGUCUGUGGGAAGGAGGCCUCAGGCCAGGUAGUUCGAGGUCCACACUGGCCCUGAGUGUCCUCCUCUUCCUGCACGUGGCCAUGAGCUCCCAGCUGGGGGUCAUGGCUGCCUGUCCCUCUGUGUCCUCACAGGUGCCUGCAAGGUCAGGGGAGACCCCUGUCUCUUGAGCCCGGCUGGUGCUGGGGCAAGGGGAGCUGCCGUCUUCUUGACUGCACGCCAAGGGAACGGUUUUCUCCUGUGAGCCAGGCUGAGCACUUUCCCUUAGGUUUAUGUGAAAUUUCAUUUUUAAAGAUGAGGCAGGAAAAAAAAAAUGAGGCUUGCUUUUCUCCCCUCCCCUCCCAGAAGAUUUCCAGAAACCAAUCUGUCUUGUCAGAAUGUGGCAGGAUCCGCGGCCCGGCCGGCUUCGUGCACCGGCCCGCAGACCGAAUCCAUUGCAUAUUGAUCAGCGGUGAUGGGUUUGGCACAGCUGAGUUCCGACAGCAGGCUGAGGCCCUCUGGAGGGAGGGCCACUCCUGGGACUGGCUCAGAUGGGCAAGGAGCGUAAUGGAUCAGAGCGGAGGGCUGGCGGCUCUCGCCAAGGACCUGCUGAGGACCUCAAGACUGGCUCCCACCCACCUCUGCUGUCCUGGCUGCCCCACUCUGGCCUCCAGGCCGCCCCUGCAGUCUGCACCAGUUGGGCCUGGCCCCUUCCUUAGAGAUCUGCCGCUGCCCCAGGCACCGGAGCCUGGCAUCCAAGACCCUCGAAGGCCUCCACCAUAGCCUCCGUUCAUUCCCUCUCCAUCCAAUCCAGACGUUGCAGAGCAUGGUCUGUGGGUCUGCCCUGAAGCACGGCUGUGACUCUGCUCUCCCACCUCCUGGGGGCCUGGGGGACUGCUGGGCUGGGCUGGGCCUGACUCGGUCUGAUGAGCUUGGCUACUCGGCCUUGGGAAGCCACCUUUUUUCUAGCUUCUUGGCUGCUGUGCAAUCUCUGCAGAAAGGUUCUUUGGCCUGGGUCCUGCUCACUGUAGAGGAUGCAGGAGGGAGGCCAUGUUGCCCAGGCCCAGACAAUGACCUCCCUGAUGACAGGCAAGAAAUGUGCAAAAAGGCCAUUGCUUUCUUUCCUGCUUGGUCAUGUGUAAAGAUGUGAUGUCAGGCUCUGCAGCAGCUGUUGUAUGAUCAGGAGGAGAAUGAAAAGUGAGAAUGAAAGCCACAAAAGAAGAAGCUGUGUCCCUAAUGCCUUUGUUUCUGGGCCUCCAUGAACCCCCCCUGAGUCACCCUCUGGCUAGAUGUCUUCCUGCUCAGGGAGUCAUGAGACAGUUUUAUUAUCAAGGCCAUCAGCAUUCUGUCACUAUCUCCAACACCAUCUCCAUCACCUCCAUCACCAUCUCCACAUCCAUCACCUUCAUCACCACCAUCACCAUCGUGAGCACCAGUCGCCAUCAGCGCCCUCACCCUCAGUGCUGUUCCUUGUGUCUGGUCCUGGGUGACGUGUGGGUCUUCACAAUGUCCCUCCAACCAUUCCCUGUCCUCUGCCUGCACAUCCAGGUGACAGGGAGUUUGCUGCUUUUGCAGUUGGCCACUUUUUCUUAGGUGGCUCUGAUUUCAACAGAGCACAGAGCCUGCACCUGUCUGUCCUAGGCCUCCUCCUGGGCUUGGGAUCCCAGACCAGUCAGCCGUGCACACGGCCACGGGAGCCCGAGAGGUGCCCAUACGAGCACCCUGGAGAGGUGCUUCCCCCAGCCUCGACCGCAGUGGCUUCCUCAGGUGGGCGGGACAUAGCCGACUCCCCACUGUUCCCCGCGCUGUUCCUCUCCGCCUCAGCCAGGCUGCGGGUCUCGGGCCCCUCGGGUGCGCAUCCCCCACUCCACUGCCCACCUUCCACAGGGCGAGGUUCCCAGGCCCUCCCAGGUCUCCAGAGGAGACCCCAGGACUGUGGGGAAGCCUAGCGGUCUCUGGAAGCGUCUGGUUUCGGGUCGCCUCCCGUGAGGUGCCCAGGAGGGGGGUGAAUGCAUCCUAAGUGAUUUGCUGUCCACAGCCCAAGUCUACCUCCUCUGCAAAGUACCAUGAUUGUCACAAUAAUUGCCAUCAGCAUUCUGGUGGCCAGGACUUCGGGCUGCAGCCUCUGCCCCACCCAAACCCUGCUGCCCAUCUCAGACUCCUAGAUCCUCCCUGGUGCCAGGCUUCCUUCACCAAGUGGUCUCCCUGAGGACCCCCGUUAACCACACUUCCCCAGACCGGUGUGGCCAGGCACCCAGUGUGGGCCACCCUUCGUGUCCUGGCCAGAGACGCCUUCCCAGCCUGCUUUGCAGGUGAGUCAGUCGAGGCCUAUGACACCCAAGGCCAGCCUUGCCCAAGCCACCGGCUUUCAGCUGCAGCUUUGCUGAGCACCAAGUAUAUGGGGCUCUAAAGGGGCCUCAGGGAGGCAGAGCCUGUCCCCAGCGUGGCCACUCAUGAUGGAAGCUAAGGAUAUGGCCUGUUCUCACGCCCCAACCGGGACACAGGCUGGACCUCAGGGAGGGCAGUGUGGGGUGCCUUGCAUCUCACCUGUCCCCCCUGAGAACCAGGGGUGCUCCUGGGGGGGACGCUUCUAAAUGGAACUGACUGCUUGUCCACCAUGUGUGCGUGGAGUGACCAUAGCCCACAAGUGCUUUGGAGUGAGAAGGAGCUUUGGGUUCUUUGUUUUGUUUGGCUGUAGGGUUUUUUAAAUCGGAAAAUGCCAAAGGGCCUUAACAUGUUUGGAAAAAUAAGAGUGCUCACGUUCGUGCUGACCCUGGACGCACCCUCUGGCUUCCUGUGUCCAUCCUGUCCCAAGUACUUCAGGCGGGAAGAGGUAGGGGUGCAGGCAGAGCUGCCCGUGGUCCUGGAAUGUUUGGGUUGGAUCCCAGGCACCUGGAGCCAUGCUCAGCAAGAUUGGCUGUGUUUUCUUCUCAAGUUUUCCUUUCCCAGAAGCCGUGAGAAGAAAACAGAGCUGGCCCAGUUUAAGUCUCUGAUUUCAACUGCAGAUCUGUCCUGGGUUCUGUUCCAGAACAGCACCAGUCUGGCACUCAGAAUCCUAAGUCAGGGUACAGGUGCUGCUGCUGUGACAAAAAGACCCCACGUGUUGGCUUAAGCCAGAUGGAGUUUUUUUCUCUCACACACAAGUCCUGAUAGGACCCGCCCAAGACCCUGUGGGGCUGAGGAUCUGGGGCCCCCCAUCUCUUCCCUUGACUGUCCAAGGUGGGCAUCCUGCCCUGGAGGUCUCGGGGUUUCUCCAGGCCUGGCCAUGGCAUCACAUUUACAUCCCUACAGUGGGACGGCAGGCCACAUCCCCCAUCACAGGUGCUCCACCUGGAACCUGCCUCUGCUGGCCCUCCCUUGGUCAGAACGUGGUCACGUGGCUGUACCUGCUGCAGGAAGCCAGAGGUAUACUGUUUUUGUGGCAGCCAUAGUCCAAGGUCAGUGUUCCAUUACCAGAGAACAGGGCUGCUCGUCUCGGCAUGGCUGACAUUUGGGGCUGGAGACUGCUGUGGGGGCGCCUGUCCCAUGCAUUGUAGGGUGAUUAGCACCUCCCCCGCCAAAACCCACCAGUGCCAGGAGCACUUCUCAUAGUGACAACCAAAGAUGUCCUCAGACAUUGCAGAAUCCCUGGGGGCAAGAUCACUCCCCUCCAGCCAGAUCAAGGACCAGGACUCUGGUGCACACAGCGCCAGACAGGAGGGCGUGCGAGGUGGCCGGUGGACGCAGGCGGCACACCCGUCAGAGAGCCGCCUGCUCAGCCCGGCCUGCCACUUCAGCUGCUGGAAGAGAGACAGAGACCCGGAUUGUCAUGUGCUCACUGGCGGCACCUGAUGAACAGAGAGAAAGCUGUGUGGGUGUCACGGGUGGCACUGAAUUCCCCCACUGAAGAAGGAGACAUCCAUGUCCUAACGUCCCGAACCUGUGAAGGCCAUUAUUUGGAAACAGGGUCUUUGCAGAGGUGAUCUAGUUAAAUGAGGUCACCCUGGAUUAGGGUGGGCCCAAAUUCUGUGUAACUGGGGCCCUUAUUGGACACACAAACAAGGAGCCCGCGAGGAGACCCCAGCACCGGCCACAGCUGUGUCGCCGUAGCCAAGGACGCCUGGGCUCAGAGCUGCGAGGAAGCGCCUUCCUUAGAACCAUCAGGGGGAGCACCCCCUGCCCCUCUGGGCAUCCAGGGCUUCCUGGGCUGUGAGAGGACAUUUCUAUUGUUUUCAGCCACAAAUCGAAUGUGGGUACCGGGUGACCUGCUGCUGAGUGGAGGCCACCCCUUGGGUCGCUCGAUCAAUUGCACGUGCACGAAGUGGCGGUGAUGUGUGGCAAAGGGCCGAGUGUGGCACUCUGCGGAGCACAGGCUCUGCUGCAGAGGGGUGACGCUGGGGCCAGGCGCAGGAGGCUUCUGGUCUAUGCUGAUGGCGCGAGAGCCAGCUGGGGUUUGAGCCCAGCUCCUGGGCUGCGCAGCCCCCAGGUCUCCCCACUGUGCUCUCCUCCACCCCGAGCUCCGGGCUUACCUCCAUCUGGUGCCGUGACCUUUGCCACAUCCCAGGACUCAAGCUUGUCCCACUGACAAAUGAGGGUGCUGGCUCUGAUGUCCUGAGGCCCUCCCAGCUCUGAGACCCUAAUUAGGCAAAGCUGGUUGACAUGACUGUGCUGUGAGCCAUUGUCAUGCAGGAACAGGGAGCCUAGGUGCCUGGAGAUAAAACAAAGGAUUAAGUAGCUGGCAUCAGACUCCGGUAUUAUACUUAGAGCAACUAUUUAAAAACCAAAGUACUUUUCCCUGUAGCAUUCCUCAGAAUUGCCCUGGGAAACCGUGUUUGACUUGAACAAAGGGUUUGUAUCGACAGGACAUGUUAUCGUUCAAUUUCUAGGAAAGGGCGGUAAUUAGAUGCCUCAUUCCAGAUAUUGUUUCAAUUACAGCAGAAAAAAAAUACAUGAAUCCUGCACAGAGGCAAAUACCUGCUUCUCAUUACCGAGGAGGCGCGCCUCCCGACUUUGGAGGGCUCACAGGAAGCCCCCGCGGCCUUGGGCUAGGGCCACCCCUGCCCUCCGCCAGGAGGGGGCCCAUGUGCGAGGGUCCUUGGGUGAAGUCCAGGCAUUUGGAAAUGUGAAGUUCGUGUCCAGGAGGGGGCGCCCUUCCCAGGCCCCACCCAACAGGGUGGCGGAGGCAGACAGAAGGUCCUCCACCACGUCCCCAAGAGGCUCAGGUGUCACCCUCUCCCACCCAGGGAACGGGGACACAGGACCUGCUGGCCCCGCAAGGGGUGGUCCCACAGCACUCCUCCUCCUGCCCUGGCCAUGCCAGGAGGGUCGCUGUGGGACUCGGGAGGGAAAGUACUGUGCACCCGCCCCAGCCAGCAUUGGCCAAGCUCCUGCUCCGGGACACAGGUGGCUGGGCCCAGCUGCCGGUGCCACCUUGUGCUUGGGGAGGAGGACACCUAGCUUGGCAGGAGGGGACAUGGCAGGACGGGACGGGGACAAGUUUGCUUGUGCUCCUUUUCUGGGCACCCCUGCACCUAGGGCACUGCUGGACCCCUCCUGCUCAACAUGGCCCCAGGGUCAACCCCAAGGGCACAGGCAGCUUCCUCUGGUGGAAGCCACUCUCCUUCAGCGGCCCCAGCUCGCCUGCCCAGGUCACUCUCCAUGGGCCUCCAAGUCCACCCUGCAUCCCUAGUGGUCUGGGUGGGCCUUGGGGCCCUGGCUCUGGCAGAGCCUGCAGUGUGGGGAGGUGGGCGUUGCUCUCCUGGCCCUCUCCCUGCCAGCCCAGGUGCUGACAGGGCCUCAUCCGACUCUGAAGGCCACAGCCCUGUCCAGCAGGGACUCCAGCCUUGCUCCAGGCCCCCAGGCCCAAGAGGUCCUGGCUGCACUGCUGCGGCCCUGUGGGCCCCUCUGUGCAGCAGCCUCACGGCCUCUCCCAGGAAGCACGCUGAGGGUGGCGUCCACUCCUGCUCACUCAGCAAACUCCACCCUGAGGGUGUGGGGUGGGGGCCCACGAAGGGCCCUCCAGGGUGGAAACCCAGCCCCGGCUUUGGCUCCCCCUCUCACGGCAGCUGUGGACUGAACUGAGGGCCUGUGUGCAGACUUCAGUCCACGAUGCCUGCGUCCCAGGGGCAUGGAGGAGGUGACUCCCUGACCACCUGUACCGCCCCCAGCUGCCCUUCAGCUCAGCUGAUUAUGAAUCCUGCAGCAGGAGACUGGCGCGGGGGAGCUUCCCACCUGACUGGCCUGCGCACGGGGCAGUGGCCCGAGCACGUGCUGUUAAAUAAACAGUAAAUGGAAGGCUGCUCCUCUGGGGUGGGCCGCGGGGAAUGGGGGGCUGCAGGCGCACCUCUGCAUCUGUGCCCAACUCCGUGUGGCAUUUCCGCUCAUGGCUGAGCCUUCGUGGUGCCCGGCCUGCCGGCUGCCCAUAGGCCCCUGUCAUGUUACUCUCUGGCCAAGUCUGGACCUGCCCUUGAAGCUCCUGAGGAAGCCACAGAGACAGUGGCACAUUGGGGGCUGCCCACAAGUAGGACCCUCCCAAGCAGCAGCCCCCGAAGGCAGACAUGGGCCCAGGUGAGAGGACCAGUGGCAGCUUGUGGCUUCUCUGUCUUCCCCUCCGUCUCCCAGGCCAACCUGGCCAGUGUGCCUCCCCAUCAGGUCUCUGUGGGUCCCCGCCAGUGAGGAGCGCUAAUGUGAGGCCUGGGGUGGACGGCCCUUGGCCAAGGGUGGGAAGGUGAGUGGUGCGAUCCGUGGUGUCCCCUGCUCUGAGCAAAGGUCCACAUUCUGUGUUUAGCCGGGAAAUGAGCAGGGAGUCAGAGACCAGCUAGACAGAGUUGCAAAGCCAGACCAGGGAAAAGGACAGGGUAGCACAUGGCAAGAGCCCUUUUAAAAGGUUUCCAAUGGGCAGGGCUGAGUGGACCGCACACACAGAGGACGUGGCUCUGGAGGGUGCCCAGGGCAGUCUCAGCAGGGGCCAAGGGCCAUGUUCCCUGCUUGGCAUGUGGAAGGGAGGCAGGGUGGACGGCGUCCAGGCCAGCACUGGAGGCUGGUCCCUGUGAGAGGCCAGCCUUGGUGGGGGUUCACCCAGUGUCAAAGCCAGGUGUGGCAGGAACUGAUUCUGCCUGGUCACUAUCCAGCCCAGGACCCACGGGCCGCUCAGUCUCAACGUCUACAGAGAGAUUCCUCGGGAUGGGGUGCACCCAUGCAGGCUUUGGAGAGCCCAUGCCCUUGCCUCAUUAUGCCAUUAGAAGUGGGUAUCCAUGGAAACCAUGUAGUCGGGCACUCGACAGAGAAUAUUUAUUCAAUUAGAGGGGCCUGGGGUGCCAGGGAGACCUUGGCUCUGGCCCUGAUUACAGCAGGACCUCUGGGGGGACCCAUGCUAGCCUGGACCUCCGUGACCUGAUAGCCUUCCAAGGUCGCCCACUGAGCUGGUCCCUGCUGACCUGUGCCGUGGAGCUGAGGACCAGGAAGGGCAGUCAGAGUGGAACAUAGACCAGCAGGGGGGCUGGGGCGUGCAGCAGGACACUGAGACUCUCCUGCCCCCCGGGCUGGCCCACCUGCGAUGGGGCAGCUGGAGGCCUGUGGGGCUGCCAAGCCUGGCGCACAGUAGGCGCCCCACAGGUGCUCCCUCUAGUUGGAAAGACCUCGUGAGCCGAGGACGAUCCCAGGCAGCACUGGGUGAGGGCGUGUUCCUGUCCAAGCUGCAUCAGGUGGCGGCUGCCUCGUGACUCCAAGCCCUCACUGUGCACACCGCCUGCUCACCUGUGCCGCCCGCGGAUGGGCAUGCCAGUGGGUGCCCAGCCUAGUGGGGGGUGGGGUGCAGUAUAUCAAAACCUCAGGCUGGCCGGGGUCCACUGUGUGCGGGGCGGGGCUCCUGCCCAGGGCCUUACUGUGCCACGGCUGUGCAGGGGCUGUGCCUGGUAGGCCUGCCUGUCUGGUUUCAACCAAGUGCGCGCGCUUGAGUGUGAAUCUGUGUGUGUGUGUGUGUGCGCGCGCGUGUGGAGGGCAGCCUUGAGCCCUGUCUGAGCUUCGGAGGGGACAGUGUCCAGGAGCAGUUACCCAGACUAGGUCAGGGGCCUUGGUGAUGGCACGGGGUGGCCCCCUUCCAGCUGCAACCCAUUUCCAGGAAUGAGGCUCCCUGCCCGGGAUGUGUGCUUGACACUUGCUCCUGGGAACGCCUGGUGGGGAACAUCCCCUUCAAAUCGGGUCUUCAGUAGGAAGUGCUCCUGGGGGCCCGGAGGAGGCCACCGACACGUCCAGACUCAGCUGCUGCGGAGGAGCAGGUCCUGCUCGCAGGGAGUCCUGGCUCUGCCGGGUUCCUUGCCUGCAGCGCCUCAUUCCACGUGAAAGGUGGGGCCGCUCUGGAAGUACGCAGUGCGUGGGUCAGGAGGAGCAGCUGCUGUCCCACGAGGGUCCCCUGUCCGGGCACACUGGUAGGUCUGUCCUCACGGCUUCAGCGUGGGAGAGGCAUCAGGCCCGUCCCAUGCCAGCCGGCCCGGUCUCCUCAGCGCCGUGGCUCGGGACAGAGGCGAACGGCCUGGGAAAGCUCCCUUCUGCAGACUCUCAGGAGGAGGUGAGGUGAGAAGAGCACCCUCCCCCACUGGGGGUUGGAGGGCACCUGCCCAGGCGCCUGGCACCCAGCUGCCCUCUUGAGAGGUGGUCAAGGGCAGCGACUGGCCUCCAGAUGCACACGGCCACAAAGCAUAGCAUGGGUUCCACCAAGGGGCACAAGGCAGGCAGCCCUGACGUCUCCCCAGCACCUCCCCACCCGAAUCUCUGCUCCAGGAGUUAACAGGUACCUACCUCACCUCCUGCCCCACCUCAAGCACCAGGGGUGCAGCCUGCCAUGCUGGGGACCCUGUGACAGGAAACAGGUCGGACACCCUCGGGACGUGCUUGUCUUGUCGGGGUAAGUGGAGUUUCAGGGAACUGAAAUCACAUCCGUGUUCGGUGGCCAGGAAAGGAAGGGUGCGUCUCAGAUGGCAAAGCCACUUUCCAGAGGCUUACAGAGUGCUGCAGGGGACCAUCGUCACAGACAGCUGAGACACGGGGACAGAGUCCUGCUCUUCCUAAGGGGCUCACAGCACCUGGGGCACUCACCACAGAGGGCACCUGAGUCCUCUCCCUCAGUGUGGGGGCCCGGAGCCCAGCUCAGGGCCCCAGGACAUGCCUUGCUGACCCCCCAUGCGCCUCCUGCCCCUGGGAACACGAACCAGCACAAUGAUUGGAUUCCAGGUGGGGGAGUGAAUGGGGAGCCCAGGGGACCACACUUGGGGAUAGGAAGCACUCCUCUCAGGAGCCAACAGGGGCACCAGUGUGCCCUCCGUCUCUAACAGUCCUACGACGUGCACACAUGGCCAUAGCCCUGUCCUGAAAGCAGACCCAGCACAUCCCUUGGGAGCUGUCCCUGCUGGUCUGCAAGUCCCCAGCCUUCAGGAGUAAGCACUGCCGCAAACCCAACCUGACAGCUCCGAGACACAAAGGUCACUGAACACCAGGAAGCGGCCCUCCGGGGCCCAGAGUGACCAACACAACCUGCUAUGAAGCAGCCACAGAUAUGCUAAAGCAGAACCAGCAAGACCUGUGGAGGGGCAGCCGUGACGGACAGAGACCAAGAGGGUGGUGCGGAAGACCAGAGGGGGAAGGGAAUGAGGAGCUGACCACGUCCAUCCGUCAUUCUGUCUUUUGCCUUGGGAAGACCAGGCCCUGGAGGCCAGGGGAAGUUGUUUCUCCCACUCUUCCAAAGAGACUUGGAAGGCUGGGUCAACCUGGGCCUUUCCUCCUAGAGUCCCAGGUCAGAGCCCGAGGCCUCCCACCUCCACCUGGCCCUGAGUCCCACCCUCCCUCCUGGAACUGGGAGCACUCUCCCAUCCUGCCUUCCCUGUGGAAAGACCCUGGGCCCGUGGCCCACCCUCCCUCUCUGUACCCAUCCGGAAGGCCAGUGCCCAGGCCCCUAUGCUGGGAAGCUACAGGGCAGCCCCAGGACGAGGUGCCACCAAGCCUGCCGCCAGCCCGCCGGAUGACCUGGGGCAGGUGCUUCCGUGUCUCCGUCCCCCCACAGGAACGAUGCCACGUGGCAGUGUUGUGAGGACCUCGCCAACGGCACAAUGGGCCUGAGGAUCCCUGAGUCCUGUCCCUCCCCCCAGCUCCAGCCCCUGGAGACCCAGAGCUCUCAGCUUCCCGGGUCCGAGCACCUAGCGUGGUGCCCAGCAUACCGCAGGUCGCAUGGAUUGCUUGUUCAAUGAAUGUUCUAGAACAGGAGUGGGCAGCACGGGGCUGCUGCUGGUGCUUAAGUAAGGGUUUAUUGGACACAGCAGUGCAUAUGGCCUCUGGCUGUCCUCCUGGGACAGGGUGGAGCUGAGCGGCUACAGCGGGGACCCACGGAUCCCCACGCUGAGCACAUGACUGCCUGGGCCAGGUGCAAGAUGAGACGGCAUCAGUGGGGGUGACAGGGGACAUCUGCUUCCCUGUUUGCCUCUCAGCAACAGCUAGAGCAGGUCUGUAUCUCAGUUUCCCUGUCUGUUCAAAGAUGGGGCGGAUCAAUAGUCCCUAAUUUUCCUCCUGGGUUUAAAUCAACAGCAACUACUUAAGAGGGAUUUUGUUGAAUUCUACUUGACUCACAAGGAAUGAUGUAAGGAAAGAAAGUAACUUCAGGAGGACUCAGGAGGCUGGAGCCCGUGCACACCCUGCCAGAGCGUCCGACGGCUCAGGCCACGUGGAGAGCACGCUGAGCUUCCUCAAGAAAGUCAAAAGGAAUGGGUUUGUCUCUGAGAGGGCGUGUCCAGGGUGCACGAGGCCUGGGUUCCCGCCCAGCACCUUGGGCACGCACACACACAACUUGAAAAUAGAUUUGCUGUCAUAUCCAGCAAUCCCACUUUUAAAAAAGUAGAGAAGGAUACAUGACCACAGGGAAGGACCUUGAGGACAUGAUGCUGGGUGAAAUAGGCCAGUUGCCUUUAAAGGGUCAGUACUGUUGGGGUCCACAGUAAGAGAAUGGCAUGCUGAUUGCCAGGGGUGCAGGUGGAAGGCAGACAGUUCUGGGGAGGAUGGGACGAUGGCCUUACAGCAAUGCGCAUGUGCUCACUGCUGACCAGAAGGGGCGUGAGAUUUUGUGUUGCACAUAUUUUGUUACAAUUAACAAUUCUUUAAGAGGCGAGGGCCAGGUGACGCUCUCCUGGCUCCAGUGCGCUCUGGUUCUGGCCUCACUGGCCUCAGCAGGGCUGCCAAGGGCCCGGGUGCCUGUGGGACAGGGGACAGCUCCUGAGCUGUCCCACAGAGAAAGCAGGUAAUGGUUAGUGUGAGCGACCGCGGCCCCGUGGCUCUGUGCCCAUGGCCAGGCUCCUUGGGGAUGCUCUGUGCACGGAUCCAGCCACACAGGGCCGGGCUGGGCGCCUGCCUCUGCAUGCUCUCCACACCUCUGUCUGCCUGGCAGCCCCUGCCACCGCCCAGGUCCCCAGCUCCGAGAGCCUCGGGCCGGUGGCCGGGAGUGUGCAUUCUGACUGAGCUGCCGGGAUGCUGACCCACAUGGGCCGAGGACCUCGGCAGAGAAACUGCUCUAGAAUUCCAGAGAUUGUAAUCAUCUGAUUUCACUUCUUCCAAAAUAGGUCUGACGACCCCUCCACAACCUGGCAGUCUCAGGGAGGCAGUUUACGGAACGUGGAUUCUGCCCAUCGUCGGUCCUCUGAACUGCUGUGGAGCUCCCACAGGCCGGGGAGGCUGCUCAGCGCCCGCACACGGGUGUGUCCUCUCCGCAGAUCAUCCCCCCUGUUACCCCCUGUGCCUGCGCAGCUGGCCCUGUGCCUCCCAGGGUUCUGGAGAGGCACAGUGGGACAUGUGCUGGCUGCCCUACGAGAUUCUGCGGACAGCAGAGGUUUGCCGGGACCAGGUCUGCUCCACGCUGUGUGGACCCCAGGGCUUUUGUUGGUUUUAAAAAACAUUUUGUUUAGGAAUAGCUUCAAGCUAUGGAAAGCUACAAAAAUAAACACCAGACACCUUUUACUUAUA
RNAcentral lists this long non-coding RNA (15449 nucleotides) under Marmota monax (woodchuck). The record is from RNAcentral. Lineage: Eukaryota; Metazoa; Chordata; Mammalia; Rodentia; Sciuridae.